GAUGAACGCUGGCGGCGUGCCUAAUACAUGCAAGUCGAGCGAACAGAUGAGGAGCUUGCUCCUCUGACGUUAGCGGCGGAUGGGUGAGUAACACGUGGAUAACCUACCUAUAAGACUGGGAUAACUUCGGGAAACCGGAGCUAAUACCGGAUAAUAUAUUGAACCGCAUGGUUCAAUAGUGAAAGACGGUUUUGCUGUCACUUAUAGAUGGAUCCGCGCCGCAUUAGCUAGUUGGUAAGGUAACGGCUUACCAAGGCAACGAUGCGUAGCCGACCUGAGAGGGUGAUCGGCCACACUGAAACUGAGACACGGUCCAGACUCCUACGGGAGGCAGCAGUAGGGAAUCUUCCGCAAUGGGCGAAAGCCUGACGGAGCAACGCCGCGUGAGUGAUGAAGGUCUUCGGAUCGUAAAGCUCUGUUAUUAGGGAAGAACAAAUGUGUAAGUAACUAUGCACGUCUUGACGGUACCUAAUCAGAAAGCCACGGCUAACUACGUG
RNAcentral lists this ribosomal RNA (497 nucleotides) under uncultured bacterium. RNAcentral describes it as "partial 16S ribosomal RNA". It matches the Rfam family "Bacterial small subunit ribosomal RNA", at positions 28 to 507 of the family's 1533-position model. The record is from RNAcentral.